This is an RNA transcript of Sarcophilus harrisii (Tasmanian devil), 1295 nucleotides long. It is a transcript of the gene named COPI coat complex subunit zeta 2, with no coding region annotated. The transcript is spliced from 10 exons. NCBI's taxonomy places the organism in Eukaryota, Metazoa, Chordata, Mammalia, Dasyuromorphia, Dasyuridae. The record is from RefSeq and is a predicted model, not a curated record.
GGGCGGCGGAGGCGGGGCCGGAGCCGGGCGGCGCUGUCAGUGCGGCUCGGAGCGGAAUGCAGCGGCCCGAGGCCUGGCCACGUCCGCACCCAGGGGAGGGGGCCGCCGCGGAGGUAGCGGCGGCAGCCCGGGGGGGAACGGCGCCGGGCGCCGGGGCCACGGAACCCCCGGGGCUGCGGUUGCAGGAACCGUCUCUCUACACUGUCAAAGCAAUUUUCAUCCUGGAUAAUGAUGGACAACGGCUUCUGGCCAAGUACUAUGAUGAUACAUUCCCCUCCAUAAAGGAGCAGAAAGCCUUUGAAAAAAAUGUCUUCAACAAGACUAAUAGGACUGACAGUGAGAUUGCCUUUUUUGGAGGUAUGACCAUUGUCUACAAGAGCAGCAUCGACCUUUUCCUGUAUGUCGUGGGCUCAUCCCAGGAAAAUGAGCUGAUGCUUAUGUCAGUCCUUACCUGCCUGUUUGAUUCCCUGAACCACGUGUUACGGAGGAACAUAGAGAAACGCUCGUUGGUGGAGAACAUGGAUGGAGCUUUCCUGGUGGUGGAUGAGAUCGUGGAUGGCGGUGUGAUUCUGGAGAAUGAUCCGCAGCAGGUGAUUCAGAAAGUGAACUUCCGGGUAGAGGACAGCGGCCUGUCUGAGCAGAGUGUGGCCCAGGUCCUUCUGCCCAGACUAAUCCUGCCUGCAUGAAGCUCCCUGCUCCAGGCACUCACUAACACCUUACCCCCCACGGCGUAACCGAGGCCGGAAGACACGCUGCUGUUCCUUCUGUCUCUUGCUGGGCCCCAGGUUCUACAGUCUGCCAAGGAGCAAAUUAAGUGGUCCUUGCUGAAGUAAAAACCACAGGAGCCAAACCCGCCUCUGCUCCAAGUGCUGUGAACCGCCGAGGACCCAGAAGGACAAGAGUCCCUCCCUCUUGCUCUCCCCAGGCCUCCUCCUCAUACUAAUCAGAAGCCCGAGUUCCUGAUCUCUGACACAGUGGCCAGAAGGGACCCUGUCAUUUUGAGUCAUGAAAUCUCAGAGCUGGAAAGGACUUCGGUCAUCCCCCCUAGCCAGACAUCCAAAUAGGCAUCCCUCUGCAGUAUCCGGAAGUGGACAGCCAACCCCCACUUGAUGAGUUAUAGUGAUAGGGGAGAACUCAUUACUCUCCAGCAAUCGUCCAUUUUACUUUAAGACCAUUUUCAUGUGGGAGUCAGUCAUUCCCUACCCCUGCCUGCUCCCAAGGCAACCAACUGAUCUGCCUCCUUAAUAUGGGACUCUUGUCUCUGAGGACUGCAAUAAAACAAGUUUUUCUCCUUU